AUGACUUUGAAGUUUUGAACCUCUUACCUCUACCUAGUUGCUCCCAUGCCUGUUUUGUGUAGUGCUGAGGAUCACACUUAGAGCUUUAUGCAUGUUAGGCAAGCAUGCUACCUUUGUUACAUCACCCACCCUUUGGCCCACUCUUGAUGGCAUGUUGCUUUCCAGCAGAGAUCAUAGUUGAGAAAGUUUCCUCUACACCAGGGAAACUUUUAAACAAAACAAGAGCUUGCCAUUCUUAUUCCAAGACUGUCCCCUACUUUAACAUUCUCCGGAGUAGAAAAAUGGCCACACACUGUGAAAAGGAGAAGAUUCUUUAUCGUCUGGAUUUUGUCAGGGGAAAAGAAUCACCUAAGAUGUAAUUGCCUGCUCUAUCACACACAUCAAGCCGGCUGCGAGGCUGCGUCCGAUCACUGGAUUAGCGGCUCAUUGCUCCCCCCCGCACCGGACAGCUCGCUCAAGUGUUGUCUUCUGUUGGAGAAUGGGCUUCCGAUUUAAAUGCCUCUGCAGUUUUGUUUACAUUUCUCAGAGAUUCCACUCAGAUCCGCAGAGGACCGGGAGAAAGGCAAUAACAGCCUCGGUCUCAUAUCAGCCCAACGUUCUGUCUCUUAUCUCCCAAUAGCACAAAAGGUGACCCCAGUGGAAAUGCAAAGUAGAACCUUGAGUCAUUACGGAGGCACUGGUGAUAAACACUCCCCCAUCUUAAUUCAGGAGCAUCCCUACCGCCAGGCUGGGAGAAUGCAAAAGACUUCUGUUACCCAGAGCAACGUUUGCUCUGACCCGUGACCAUAAAAACAUCCAUGAUUCAUCCCACUGACAGCACGUGACCCUGUCAGCUCCUCCGGAGAGAACGGGAGGUCCACUUCAUGCCACUCGGUUUUCCCAGACAGUUCCUCUAGAUCUUCAACCUCUGAAUGCCUUUUUCAAAAUAUGUGGGGGGAGGGGUGAAGAGACACGUGAAUUGCUGGUCACAUCAUUGAGUUCCAUCUUCAGUGAGAGACCUUUUCCGAUUUGUCCUUCAUACCUGUCCUUCAUAAAUACAGCCUCAUUUAUUCCAA
This 1055-nucleotide small RNA is filed under the name Rattus norvegicus (Norway rat). RNAcentral's name for it is "uncharacterized LOC102555450". The record is from RNAcentral. Lineage: Eukaryota; Metazoa; Chordata; Mammalia; Rodentia; Muridae.